AAAUGAAUUGACGGGGACCCGCACAAGCGGUGGAGGAUGUGGUUUAAUUCGACGCAACGCGAAGAACCUUACCUAGGCUUGACAUGCUGGUGAAAACCAUGGAAACAUGGUCCUCCGUAAGGGACAUCAGUACAGGUGGUGCAUGGCUGUCGUCAGCUCGUGUCGUGAGAUGUUGGGUUAAGUCCCGCAACGAGCGCAACCCUUAUUCUUAGUUGUUUUCCCUUUGGGAUUACCCUCUAAGAAGACUGCCUCGGAUAACGGGGAGGAAGUGGGGAUGACGUCAAGUCCGCAUGCUCCUUACGUCUAGGGCUACACACGUCCUACAAUGGGGUCGACAAUGGGAUGCAAUAUCGCAAGAUGGAGCCAAUCCCCAAACGGCCUCUCAGUUCGGAUUGUAGUCUGCAACUCGACUACAUGAAGUUGGAAUCGCUAGUAAUGGCAGAUCAGCAUGCUGCCGUGAAUACGUUCCCGGGUCUU
RNAcentral lists this ribosomal RNA (477 nucleotides) under uncultured bacterium. Its description in RNAcentral is "bacterial SSU rRNA". It matches the Rfam family "Bacterial small subunit ribosomal RNA", at positions 903 to 1382 of the family's 1533-position model. The record is from RNAcentral.